Molecule: long non-coding RNA, 7499 nt
Filed under: Citrus x clementina
Lineage: Eukaryota; Viridiplantae; Streptophyta; Magnoliopsida; Sapindales; Rutaceae
Description: Citrus clementina (C. clementina) long non-coding RNA (CCLE_LNC000248)
Source: RNAcentral
GGAGGAUAUUUUGGUAAUGGUUUUGAUGGCUUUCUUAGGAGAUUAAUUAUUUAAUUUCCUCUUCACUUUUAUGCUUUUGCAGCUAAUUGACGUUCGCUAUAUAAUUAGCAAUGAAUUAAACUACUUAAAAGAGAAGCAUAUAGUAGUGUACACAUCUUCCUCAGAGAUCAGAAUAAAUAAAUUAUGGUGGUGUAAAACUUCUACACAAUUUCCAUCCAUCUUUUUCCCAAUCGAUAAUCACAAUCGACCAUGCAAAGAUUGAAAAGAAGGAACUAGCUUGAAGAAUCUAGUGAAAAAACUUGGAACAAAAUAACAUAAUAGUUACAAAUAUAAGAACUCUACAUCCUUAUUUAUAUCAAGAGUUUAUAAUAUUAAAUUACAAUCUUUGUAAUAGAAACACUUUAUUAAAUGAAGGAGGAAUAACUUAAAAGCAUCGAUCGAUCGAGACUGCAAUAAUACAACAAAGAUUAAAGAGGCGUUCAUACAAAGAUUCAUAAAACUAAACAUGGGUUUCCUGGGGGCUCCUGGAAACUUCUUUCCCGGAAACUUUCAAAAGUUCUUUCCAUCGCGUCUGACUUUUUUGAGAAAUGACGCGAACACAGUACGAUUGAGUUAUCGUGUUCUUCCAACAUCACUGACCCGCUGAGGAUUUUUUGUGUUGGUUCAUCAGCCGUCUGCUUAAGAGAACUAGUACUACUCAUGAUUUGCUCUUAUUCAGUAUAAUGAGUAUUUGCUCCUGAGAAGGCUUGCUAGCUCAGUGUUAAUGAGGCUAGCUAUAUAUGCUACAACAUGACUCAAAAACUUAACAGAGAACCAAAACCAUAUUCAUGAACCUCUCAUGAAUCAGAAUCAGAAUAAACAAAGGAAUUGCAUUCCACCUUUCUCAUGACAAAAAUAAUGCCGAUAAAGGUAAAUUUGAGAAUCGAAUAAUUCAAUAAUGAAUCAAGAAUAAUUCGAUGAUCAGAAUAACGGCAGAUGGACGCGAAAAUCAGAAACAAAGUGGCAGCGGUUUUGUGGCUUUCGUGUGGUUUUUCUGGGCGGUGAUUGACGUCGAUGACGCUGAUGUGUGGUCAUCGAUGUCUGAUGAAUGUGAGGGUGGGUUUUAUUGUAACAUAUGUACUUUUAUUUUCUAGAUAAGUGUAUUAUUUUUUUCUUCAACAUAAAAUUUUUAAAAUCAUUAGAUUUAUUACAAAUUGUCACUGGUAAAUUUUUGACUUCACACGAUGAAUAAUGAAUGUAGGUUGUCAAAAUUGGCAUGGGUGUUAAUGGAUUGUGUUUAGAAUAAUUUAAAUUUGACGCCAUAUGAAAUCAAGUCAGCUCAAACGCUAUCCAACAGCAGUACAGUCAGAUUUUAUUUCAACACAAAGGUUUGGCAUUAGCUUAAUUGUUAACAAUAAUAAUAGUUAUAAUAAUAAUAAUUUUUUCCUCUUUUUUUUAUUAUUAUUUUAUCUCUCUUCCUUUGUUCUCUCCUCUUCUUCUUCUCUUUUUUUUUUCUUUCUCUCUCCUGCAAUUUCUUUUCAAUUUCAUCUUCUUAAUCAACAUCAUCGUCAUCACAAAUAUCUUCUUCUUUCUCCUGUCAAUUUCGUUUCUUCUUCUUCUUCAUCAACAUUAAAAUUCUGUUUCAUCUUCAUCAUCGUCAUCACAAUUACAUCAUCUUCAUCAUCAUCACCACAGUUACAUCAUCAAUUCAUACUUUUCAAUGGAAAGAGGGGUAUUUUUGGAAUAUUAAAAAAAUAAUGGGGAUGUCUUCUUCACGAGGGGAAAUGGGAUUCUGAUUCCCAACUCUCUCCUGAAAUCAGAAACUCAGUAAUCACUUCAUAUUUUGGAUGGAACCAUAUAAGUUAUUCUCAUUCUUUUUUUUUUUAAACGAAAUUAUCCCCAUUCUUAAUUUCAAUUUAACAAAUAAAUAAAUUUUUUAUUAUGAUUCCGCUAUUUCCAUUCCGAUUCCAAAAAUGUAAACACACCAUAAAAAUAAUAUUAUUCAUUUUAUCGGGCCCUGACUAUUAUAAAGCGGAACCUGUCACUUGCGUUGGAACUACGGCCUAUAGGUUGAGGCGUUGAGCGUAGCUUCAAAAAUGACCUUAAAGAGGAAAAUAUCAUUACACACAAUCUCUCUCUCUCUCAUAAUUAAGUUCUUCUCUAGGGAUGGCAAUGGGCACCGCCCGCAGCGGGUUUGCCAUUACCAAACCCAAACCCGCACAAAAUUUAAAUUACCAAAUCCACCCGCAACCCGCAGCGGGUUUUAAUUUUUUAAAAAAAACCCACCCGCAGCGGGUUUUAACAAUUACCAAACCCGCAAUGGUAUCCGGCGGAUUUUUUACAGGUUUCCGUAUUUAAAAUCACAAAUAUUUAAUAUAUAAAUUUAUAAUAAUAACCUCAAGUUCCAUAUAACAUAUUCAAUUUUAUAUUUAAACAGUGUAAAUGAAAAAUUAAAAUUUCCACAUCAAUUCAACACAAAUUCUCAAAUUUAAGUAUAAAUUAUACAAAUCUAUUUAAAAAACACAAACUAAUAUCUAAAAAUAAUAAUUACAUUUCAUAUUAUCAUUUAAAACAAGAUCAAAGAGAAUAUAUUUAUUUUAUUCACCACCAUAAGCACCCAUCUAACACAAUGCCUAAAAUAAUAAUUAAGAUUAAUAUUUUCAAAUACUAAUUCGAAGGGAAAUGCCUUUAGUUUUCUUUAGGUUAUGACUUUAGAAUAAGAGAUAAGCCAUAUACACACAUACACAACUUUGAGCCUUUUGCUAUUUGGUAAUUUGAUUAAUUACAUUAUUUUCUUUAUAUAUUUUUAUAUUUAAAUUAAAUUAAAAAUAUUUGAAAAAAAUUAUUGCGGGUUUGGUGGAUAUCCAUGCGGGUAUCCACCGGGUAUAAGAUUAAUACCAAACCCACCCGCAUCCAUAUGCGGGUUUUAAUUUAUAAUACUAAACCCGCCCGCAACGGAUAAAAUUACCCGCAACGGGCGGGUUUUGGCGGGUGGGUUUGGGCGGGUUUACGGGUUUGCGGGUACAAUUGCCAUCCCUAUUCUUCUCGCACCCUUUUUUUUGGGGGGGGGGGGGGGGGUUGCAAAUAUCUUGUAGAAAGAUGAAAAUUCUUGUCCAUUCUUAAUUAAUUUGGGAUCAUAUUUCAGUUUAAGUACAUGUAUAGUCUCUAUGUACUCAAAAGUACCUUAAAAAUACUUGCUAUUAAAUAUAUUACAUUCAUAUUCUUAUUCUUUUAUUUGCUUUUAAUGUAAUACUCUUGCAAUAAUAUUUUUGGGUAUAUUAAUUGAUAUUAAAAAAAGGCUAAUUAACCACAAAAGUAAAAUUCUUAUAAAACAUUUUAAUUCUUUUAAAUUUUAAUCUUUAUUCAAAUUAUCUUAAAAGAAAAAAAGAAAAAAAAUCAUUAUACGGAAUCUCUCUCUCAUAAUUAUGUUCUCCUCUUUCAUUUGCUUGGUGCCUUUUUUUUAUUUUUAAAGUUGGCAAAUCACUUGAAUAUAAAAAUAUGAAAAGUUGUUGUGUAUCCUUAAGGUCUUUAUUUUUGGCGCUUAGGAUUUGAUUUAUUAAAGGUUUUUUCUGUUUUGAAAAUUUUGCAUGUUCUUAUUAAGCCAUGUCUAUUUUCAAUUUUUUUUCUUCAUAUAGCAUUGCCUUAAAAACUAAUAAAAUAUGUACAUAUUUUGAGUGUUUUUAGAAGAGAGCGAUACUAUAAAUUGAAAAUCGAAAGGGGAAGAAAUUGGAGGGCAGUUUUGGAAUCGUUGGGGUCUUAUUGGGGUAUCUUGAAUAGAGUGGUUUUAUGAGGAAUUUUUAGGGGUGUCAAAAUCUCGAGUCCCCUUAUGAACACUCAGGACACAUACCUUUCAAAUCCAUUGGGCAUAGACUAGGUUCAAGGCUAACACAUAGUCACGUACCCUUUAAAGGGGUCAAUUGCUCAAAAGUGACUUCUCUGUGAAGCUAAGGAUAUUUCUUUGGAUAAUUUGUACUUGAAGUUUGUAACUAGAAAGACAAGUAACCGCAGAAUUUAAAGCACUUUUGAUUUAACUGAUACUGUAAGCAUAGUUCUAUAAUUCUCCAAGAGAAAUACAAUACUGAAUUCAAUAAGCUACAACUGAGAGCUAAAAUGCAGAAUUUUAUCUACUUAUAGGUUACAAGCUAGUAGCAUGUGUAAUAUUUAUAGUAGAAGUUAGUUACAAUAAUACAAAUACUCUCUUACCUUGAUUUUAGUUUCUCUGCUUUUCUCUGUAUCCAAAUACAUCGUUAUAAAGCUUCACAAAAAUUAAUCAAACCAUUUAAUAUUUUAUAUCCUUCAAAUUACAUGCACCAUUUCCGUUAGUGGUUGGUUCCUUUCUCUCCAACGUCGAAGUUCUCCACAAUUAUUUAUAGCAAGGUUGUAAUGUCACAAUCUUGGAUCGAAACAGGACAAAAACACCUUAUUAAACGAAAGUCGAACAAAUUGAAAGCACAUUUGUCAGACGAGGUUGUAAUAAAUAUUUUCAUUGAAAAAUAAAGAUUUUAGAGAGGCAUUCAUUCAAAGAUUCAUAAAAUAAAAAAGUGAAAUUACAAAUCUAUUUACUUGUAAAACUGAAAUUUCAAGCUGCUCAAAUAACACAGUUCUAGUAAAAGUAGAAUAAUAAUUACAACUCAGAAACUUGUCUCCCGGGGGAGAUUGGACAAUAAAUAUUGAUCACCAAUCUUUUAGUUAAACUUUUUUAAUAGAUGUGAAAAAGUCUGAUUUAAAAUUUUUUAUUUUUUUAAUUAUUAACUCAUGCAUCAUUCAAGUUAGAACUUAAGACCUCAACUUUAAUAAAUCUGCUAUUUACCACUGGAGCGCAGGACCUCUCUUGACUAGGCACGGAUCUGAUCCGGGCCGAUUUGGAUUUGUAGUACUGGAUCUGAUCCGGGCUGAUUUGGGUUUUGACCCAUUAGCGUUAGCAGGAGCCGUUUGAGUAUCCUUUUGCGGAUUUUGUUGUGAUUGAGGGUAGUUUCGGUAGGAUUUAUACAUCUUUUCCGUCCUCUCUUGAGUUUUGCCCAAAGGACCUACGUGAAAGCUCAACGUCCAUGUGAUUGGUUGUAAUUGAUGUUUGCUAUAUAUGCUCAAAGGCUUAGCAAAGAAUCAAACAUAUUCACGAUGAAACCUCUCAAGAAUCACAACGAAGGUCGUUUUCUUCUCUAUUUCCGUGAGACUUCUUUUCCACUGAAAUUAAAACUCGAAAGAAUUCUGAUUUGCAAAAAUGAAUGAUCAGAAUUCAGAAAAUUCUUUUUGCAGAAGAGGAAUUAUUGAUUACUACUUAGACUGAUUAAAAAAAAAAUUGCUUCUUCAUUUUGUAAAAAUUUCAAUUUCUUUUUGAUGAAAUUGAAUGUUGACUAACGACGCAAGAAGUAAAAGCUGUCGGCUGUGCCUAAUUUAGAAUAAUAUAUCUUUUUGUGUUGAUGAACGCAAUUCAAAUCACCUUUCCCUUUUACGAUUGUCAUUGGCAUCCGAUUCCAGCAACACUCUUUCGCAUCCAUUCGCUUAUUUCUACUGUUUCUUCGGGAAAGAGUUGUUGUUCGUGAUCAUGAAAAUGUUUUAUUUUGAUAAAGGGAAAAUUGCACCUAUACUCCCUAUAUUUAAUGAAAUGUACAUGGAUCUCGUCUUCCCCUCAGUUUUUUUCCCUCUCCUCUUUUCCUCUCCUCUUCUCUCUUUUUAUUUCUUCAAUCCAAACUUACUGUAACUUAAGUUUUUAAAAAUGAUCAUAUAGACACCCUUUUACCCUUUUACUCUAUUAACUUAGAAAAAUUGACUCUAAAUUUUAUAAUGUACAAAAAUAUAAUAUUAAAAUGCCUGUGAUGUGUGUGUGUGUGUAUUUAAUUUAAUAUGAUUAAUUUGAGAUAGGUUUUAUUAUUAAUAUUUGUAAAAGCAAGAUUUAUUUUAAAUUUUUUAAUAAAUAAAAAUAUAAUAUUCAAAUAAAUACAAAAAUAUUUUUAUUUUUUAUUAUUUUGAAUAUUAUAAAAAAUCUAUAUAUUAUUAAUAUGCCAAUAAAUUUUUUGUUAAUAAUAAAAUUUAUUUUACCCAAAUAUUUUUUACAAAUAUAUUUAUAAUAGGUACAAGCGUAAUACUAUAAGUAAAUAUAAUAAUUUUUAUUUUGAAGAUAUUUCAAAUAUUAAAACACUUAUUUUAAUAUCAUAGGUAUCUUAGAGAAAGAUUUUAUUAUUAAUGAAAUAUUUUCAUUUAUUAAAAGACAUUAAAGUAAAUUUUCUUACUUAUUAUAUUAAAAGAAUAUAAUGGUUAAAAAGGAUUAUGCGUGACGAUGUGAGCAUUUAUGAAACCUUCGAGGUCUACUUAUUUAUUUAAGCAAAGCAUGAGGGCUUAGGUAUCCUUUUUCCUUCAGUAAACUAUCAAAAAUUUAGCUAUAAUAUUAUGAGCAAAUAGUACAAUAUCAAUAUAUUUAUGGGAGAUUAGAUAAAGAAUAUUAUUACCACCCUUUUUGGUUAAAACUUUUUCUAACGGAUGUGAAAAAGCUUAAUAAUAAAGGCAAACAAAGUUUUUUUAUUUGCGGCCAGCAACGAGUGCAAAGGAACAUAUGAUCUCGACUGAUUUGAGCCAUUAUGAGUCCUUUUGAAUAAUAUUGUUUUGCUGCGCUUGGGAGGACUUAAACUUACUUUACAACUUCAUUGAAUGUUCAUCAAAAGGAAAAAAAAAAAUCGAUCUUGCAUAGAUUAAUUUUCUUUUCUUCUUUUUUUCCCUGAUUAGUUGGGAGGAUAUUUUGGUCAUCGUUUUGAUGGCUUUCUUAGGAGAUUUAUUAUUUAAUUUCCUCUCCAGUUUUAUGCUUUUGCAGCUAAUUGACGUUCGCUAUAUAAUUAGCAAUAAAUUAAACUACUUAAAAGAGAAGCAUAUAGUAGUGUACACAUCUUCCUCAGAAAUCAGAAUAAAUAAAUUAUGGUGGUGUAAAACUUCUACACAAUUUCCAUCCAUCUUUUUCCCAAUCAAUAAUCACAAUCGACCAUGCAAAGAUUGAAAAGAAGGAACUAGCUUGAAGAAUCUAGUGAAAAAACUUGGGAAAAAAUAACAUAAUAGUUACAAAUAUAAGAAUUCUUCAUCCUUAUUUAUAUAAAGAGUUUAUAAUAUUAAAUUACAAUCUUUAUAAUAUAAACACACUAUUAAAUGAAGGAGGAAUAACUUAAAAGCAUCGAUCGAUCGAGACUGCAGUAAUACAACAACGAUUAAAGAGGCGUUCAUACAAAGAUUCAUAAAAAUAAACAUGGGUUUCCUGGGGCCUCCUGGAAACUUUCAAAAGUUCUUUCCAUCUGGUCUGACUUUUUGGAGAAAUGGCGCGAACACGGUGCGAUUAUUGAGUUCUCGUGUUUUUCCAAAUCCACCGACUGAAUGAGGAUUUUUUGUGUUGGUUCAUCAGCCUUCUGCUUAAGAGAAGGCUCUUUUUGACGACUAAUACUACUCAUGAUUUGCUCUUACUCAGUAUAAUAAGUAUUUGCUGCUGAGAAAGCUUGCUAGCUCAGUGUAAAUGAGGCUAACUAUAUAUGCUGCAAAAUGAC